RNAcentral lists this ribosomal RNA (441 nucleotides) under uncultured bacterium. RNAcentral's name for it is "partial 16S ribosomal RNA". It matches the Rfam family "Bacterial small subunit ribosomal RNA", at positions 338 to 795 of the family's 1533-position model. The record is from RNAcentral.
CCUACGGGUGGCUGCAGUGGGGGAUAUUGCACAAUGGGGGGAACCCUGAUGCAGCGACGCCGCGUGAGUGAAGGAGUGCUUCGGCAUGUAAAGCCCUAUUGGCAGGGAAGAAGCAAGAUGGUACCUGACUAAGAAUCCCCGGCGAACUACGUGCCAGCAGCCGCGGUAAAACGUAGGGGGCGGGCGUUAUCCGGAUGCUCUGGGGGUAAAGGGUGCGUAGGCGGGUAUGCAAGCCAGGGGUGAAAGCCCGGGGGCCAAACCCGGGUCUGCCCUUGAAACUGGGCGGCUAGAGUGCGGGAGGGGUAGGCGGAAUGCGUGGUGUAGCGGUGAAAUGCGUAGAUAUCAGGAGGAACACCGGCGGCGAAGGCGGCCUGCUGGACCGCGACUGACGUUGAGGCUCGAAAGCGUGGGGAGCGAACAGGAUUAGAUACCCCUGUAGUC